GAGCCGCAUGUGGCUCGUGAGCCGCAGUUUGCCGACCACGGCUCUGGCAACAAGAGGAGUGAUUAUAAAAUCAGCGAAGGAAUAGAACCAAGAACUUCACUUCGAACCCAGUCUUCCCAAGGGCAGUGUCUCUGCCCUCCCUGCACAUAAUGUUAUUUUUUCUGUUUCCAUGUGGCUGAAAAUUAGGGGAGGACCCCGAGGACAGGGGUGGUAUCUUUUUCUGAUCUUUGAAUUCUCAGUGCCCAGCUCAGGUCCUGGUGGAGGGGGUUUAGGAAUGAAUAUUGAAUGAAUGAAAGGCUUGAGUUACCAUGGAAAAAAUCCCCGAGAGGGGUAUUUUUAUACUAACAUGUCAAUAACUGCUUUUUCUUCCUUCUCCCAAAGUGGGAGAGAGAGUAGGAUGCCAGGAACCUGAAAAGUAAGCAAAAGAUUAAAAAACAACAAUCAGAAACCCAAAAGGGGUGUCUGGGCAGGUCAAAGGUUCCUGGCCUAGAUUCUGGGUUCCCAACUGACACCUCCCUCUCUGCAGCCAGAGCCCCCCCCCCCCCACUGCCAGUUCCUAUCCAGCCACUGGGCCGGUGGUCUUUGCAAAUGGGGAAACUGAGUUUCAGCGGCUGAAAUCAACAUCUAAGGUCACACAGCCAGGCACUGAAUUCAUCUUAUACUUUCUAUUUAAUUUCAAAGGCAGAUAGCUUGGAAGUUUUCUUUCUAAGAAAAAAAAACAAACUAAUCACAGAUAUUUUCAUAUGGAGCCCUCAAAUGAUCUUUUAUCCUUUAGAAAGUGUGUGUUUAAAAGAAAAAAAAAGGUUCUGGCAACGAUUAAAUGGCACUUGCUAAACUUUUACUGUUUUCGAGUCCUUCCCAGGGAACCAAAGGUCACUGAGAAUGCCACUCUGGCCUGCGUCCCUGCCUGAGUUGCAGGUCUCUCAGAGCCUGAGAGAGGGCCCCCCACGCCAGACAAAUUGCAGAAUUGCCUGGCAUGCCAGGAAGCUGGCCCCACUAGACAGUUUCCGAGAAAGACCUAGGGACUGAAAGUAGGAAUAGUUGUACUUGACCCAGGGUCCAGUGGGGCAAAUGACACUCUUCUGGGGCCUGGCUCUGCAUAGAGUGGGUGAGGAGGGGCCAGGAGGGAGGAUGAGCUGGCUCUACCUUCCCCCUGAAGUUGCCAGUGAGGCUCCUUGUACAGUCUUUGCUUUCCAAAAAGCCUCUGAUUCAUAAGGGAAAGGGAGCAGCUGCACUCAUUCUCUCUGAGACGUCAGGGAUUUAAGGAGAUAGUAUGCUUCCCCUGAGGUGGGCAUUGCAGAUCAUAGAAUCUGUAUUAGAAGGGGCCCUAGUGGUCACACAAGUCAAUGGACCUCACACUUGGCUGCAGACCAGAAUUGCCUUUUGAAGAAGACAGACUCCUGUGGCCCAGUGAAAACAACUGCAUCCAAACUUCUGGGGGCAGACCUUAGGGAUCUCCUGGUACCCUAGCAACUAGAACCCCGGGACCUGAAUCCAACUGCCUGCAGCAAACACGCGAAUCUCCACCAAAGACUAAUCCAGCCUUGGCCUGAACUUGGGGAAAAGCAACCUCACCCACCCCAAACGCCUCAUCCUCCUACUACACCUCCAGCUCUACUUACAGUAAUAUUGUUAUCAGGUCUUUGACUCCUGCCCCCAGGUUGCCCUUGCCGGCCCUCCCAGUCCCAGCUUGUACCCGGAUGCCCUCCUCACUCUGCACUUUCCCAGGUGGGGAUAAUGUUCCCCUGUCUUCUCGGGGUUAUUGUGAAAAAAACAGAGGGCGAAUGAGCACAAACCGUAAGGUCCUCAACUGAUACCAGGCACAAGCUCCUCAACAAAGGAACCUCCUCCUCUCUGCUCUUCCUGAGCUCCUGGCUCCUGAGGUAUCCAUGUGCCCCAACAAGGCACACAAAGGACCUUCCAGGUCUCUGGGAAGGGACUGACCGACCACUUGGCACCACCUAGUGGCCCAUGGUGUGUGGUGCUUGGCCAGGGUGCUCUGAGAUUGAGGGUUUGAGCAUGACCAUUGGCCCUGUGGGGGUGGGCAGAAUAUGCCGGCCCCUCAGAAAGGAUGAGGUCAUGCCUAGCUAAGCCCUCCCCUGGCCACUCCCCUGCGGAUACAUGACGGUGGGCACUCCACCAGUCCCCAUCUCAGCCCACAUCUCACUGGCAAGGGAGGCUAAGGGUUGUCUUCCAGCUCUGCCAGUGCCUCACUCCCAGGACUCAGCCGCCUCCCCUGCAGAACUGGAGUAACCAUCCCUGCCUCUCAUCCCUGCCUGGAACGGUGGUGUGUUCUUUCCUGUAUCAACCAUUUUAUGAAGUGUCUCCUUUCUAACGUCAUCAUGCUGAGAGCUGUGGGGAUACAAGGGCUGCUAAGCCACGUUUCUUGCUACCAAGGCACCUGCCUUAUUCUAGACCAGUGGUUCUCAACCUAGGCUGCACAUUAG
Myotis davidii is the source of this 2447-nucleotide long non-coding RNA. RefSeq lists it as uncharacterized. The transcript has 3 exons. Lineage: Eukaryota; Metazoa; Chordata; Mammalia; Chiroptera; Vespertilionidae. The record is from RefSeq and is a predicted model, not a curated record.